UUCCGGUUGAUCCUGCCGGACCUGACUGCUAUCGGAUUGAUACUAAGCCAUGCGAGUCAUUGUAGUAAUACAAGGCAGACGGCUCAGUAACGCGUAGUCAAUCUACCCUAUGGACGGGAAUAACCUCGGGAAACUGAGAAUAAUGCCCGAUAGAACACUAUGCCUGGAAUGGUUUGUGUUCCAAAUGAUUUAUCGCCGUAGGAUGGGACUGCGGCCUAUCAGUUUGUUGGUGAGGUAAUGGCCCACCAAGACUAUUACAGGUACGGGCUCUGAGAGGAGUGGCCCGGAGAUGGGUACUGAGACACGGACCCAGGCCCUAUGGGGCGCAGCAGGCGAGAAAACUUUGCAAUGUGCGAAAGCACGACAAGGUUAAUCCGAGUGGUUUCUGCUAAAGAGACCUUUUGUCGGUCCUAGAAACACCGAUGAAUAAGGGGUGGGCAAGUUCUGGUGUCAGCCGCCGCGGUAAAACCAGCACCUCAAGUGGUCAGGAUGAUUAUUGGGCCUAAAGCAUCCGUAGCCUGCUUUGUUAGUUUUCGGUUAAAUCUGUGCGCUUAACGUACAGGCUGCCGGAAAUACUGCAAAGCUAGGGAGUGGGAGAGGUAGACGGUACUCGGUAGGAAGGGGUGAAAUCCUUUGAUCUAUUGAUGACCACCUGUGGCGAAGGCGGUCUACCAGAACACGUCCGACGGUGAGGGAUGAAAGCUGGGGGAGCAAACCGGAUUAGAUACCCGGGUAGUCCCAGCUGUAAACUAUGCAAACUCAGUGAUGCAUUGGCUUGUGGCCAAUGCAGUGCUGCAGGGAAGCCGUUAAGUUUGCCGCCUGGGAAGUACGUACGCAAGUAUGAAACUUAAGGGAAUUGGCGGGGGAGCACCACAAGGGGUGAAGCCUGCGGUUCAAUUGGAGUCAACGCCGGG
Molecule: ribosomal RNA, 914 nt
Filed under: uncultured archaeon
Lineage: Archaea
Description: bacterial SSU rRNA
Rfam family: Archaeal small subunit ribosomal RNA
Source: RNAcentral